RNAcentral lists this unclassified non-coding RNA (2229 nucleotides) under Hevea brasiliensis (rubber tree). Lineage: Eukaryota; Viridiplantae; Streptophyta; Magnoliopsida; Malpighiales; Euphorbiaceae. The record is from RNAcentral.
CGGCAAACCAUGACUGCAACUAUCCAUGCCUUCUCUCACCUCCAAUUCACUCGCCUUCCUUCUCGAGUCUGCCGUCAAAACUCGCUCCUCCCUCCUUGGCCGAGCCACCCAUGCCCAGACCAUCAAGAGCCUUCAAUCUCCACUCCCUUCCUUUCUCGCCAACCACCUUAUCAAUAUGUAUUCCAAACUCGACCUUCCGAAGUCGGCCCACCUCCUCCUCCAACUCACCCCAAAUCGGUCCGUCGUCACCUGGACAGUGCUCAUUUCCGGCUCCGUUCAAAAUGGUCAUUUUUCGUCUGCCUUACUCCAAUUUUUUAACAUGCGCUGCGAAAAUAUCCAACCCAACGAUUUCACUUUUCCUUGCGCGUUUAAAGCGUCUGCUUCACUUCGGUUAUCCUUCAUAGGAAAACAGGUGCAUGCGAUUGCGGUUAAGUUUGGACAAAUAUACGAUGUAUUCGUUGGGUGCAGUGCUUUUGAUAUGUAUUCGAAAACAGGGCUUAAACAUGAAGCGCAGAAACUGUUUGAUGAGCUGCCUGAGAGAAAUGUCGUUACGUGGAAUGCGUAUAUUUCUAAUGCGGUGCUUGAUGGGAGGCUUAUAAAUGCUGUCAAUACAUUCAUAGAGUUUCGCCGAAUGGGUGGAGAGCCUGACUCCAUAACUUUUUGUGCGUUUCUCAAUGCAUGUGCUGAUCCGUUGUAUUUGGACCUUGGGAGACAGUUGCACGGGUUUGUGAUUCAGAGUGGCUUUGAAGCGGAUGUUUCUGUUUCAAAUGGGCUUGUUGAUUUUUAUGGAAAGUGUAGGGAGGUUAGAUUGGCUGAGAUGGUGUUUGGUGGGAUGGAGAAGAGGAAUGCUGUUUCAUGGUGCUCCAUGGUGGCUGCUUGUGAGCAGAAUGGCGAGGAAGAGAAGGCUUGUGUGUUUUUUUUGGAGGGUAGGAGAGAAGGAGUUGAGCCAACAGAUUAUAUGGUUUCUAGUGUUAUCAGUGCUUGUGCAGGGCUUGCAGGACUUGAAUUGGGACGGUCAGUUCAUGCACUUGCUGUGAAAGCAUGCAUGGAGGUUGAUAUUUUUGUUGGCAGCGCCCUUGUUGACAUGUAUGGGAAAUGUGGGAGCAUUGAGGAUUCUGAGCGAGCCUUUCAUGAGAUGCCCGAGAGGAAUAUGGUUACUUGGAAUGCAAUGAUUGGUGGGUACACACACCAAGGACAUGCUGACAUGGCCAUUAGAUUGUUUGAAGAAAUGAAAUCUGAGGUGGCACCAAACUAUGUGACCAUGGUGUGUGUAUUAUCAGCUUGUAGUAGGGGAGGUGCAGUUGAAUGGGGCAUGGAAAUUUUUGAGUCAAUGAGAGACAGGUACAAGAUUGAACCAGGGUCAGAGCAUUAUGCUUGUAUUGUGGACUUGUUAGGGCGAGCUGGUAUGGUAGAAAAUGCCUAUGAGUUUGUAAAGAAAAUGCCUAUGCAUCCAACAAUUGAGGUUUGGGGAGCUCUUUUAAAUGCUUGUAGGGUGUAUGGGAAGGCAGAAUUGGGAAAAAUUGCUGCCAGUAACUUAUUUGCACUUGAUCCAAAAGAUUCUGGCAACCAUGUGCUGCUUUCAAAUAUGUUUGCUGCUGCUGGCAGGUGGGAGGAAGCCACCCUGGUGAGAAAAGAAAUGAUGGACGUUGGGAUCAAGAAGGGUGCAGGUUGUAGUUGGCUUACUGCAAAGAAUAGGAUCCACGUCUUCCAAGCAAAGGAUACAUCCCACGCAAUGAACUCUGAGAUACAGGCAAUGCUAGUUAAGCUAAGAAUGGAAAUGAAGGCGGCUGGCUACAUACCUGACACAAACUAUGCACUUUAUGAUUUAGAAGAAGAGGAGAAAAUUACAGAAGUUUGGUACCACAGCGAGAAGAUUGCCCUCGCCUUUGGCCUUGUAGCUAUCCCUCCUGGAGUACCUAUAAGAAUUACCAAAAACCUUAGGAUAUGUGGUGAUUGUCAUAGUGCCUUCAAAUUUAUCUCAGGCAUUGUUGGCAGAGACAUUAUUGUUAGAGAUAACAGUCGAUUUCAUCACUUUCAGAGUAGUCAGUGUUCCUGCAGAGAUUAUUGGUGAUAUUUUUUUCUUGUUAACAAAUUUUUCGCAAAUUAUACAUCAUGCUGGAGUGGAGGGAUCUCUUAUAAAUCUUAAAUCAAGGAUAACCUUGUAGUUAUACUAAAUUUCCAGAACAAGAAUAUGGAUUCCAAUUUUGAUCCUUUGAGAUUUUAUUGUUG